This 777-nucleotide ribosomal RNA is filed under the name uncultured Neocallimastigales. RNAcentral describes it as "partial large subunit ribosomal RNA". It matches the Rfam family "Eukaryotic large subunit ribosomal RNA", at positions 23 to 647 of the family's 3401-position model. Lineage: Eukaryota; Fungi; Neocallimastigomycota; Neocallimastigomycetes; Neocallimastigales. The record is from RNAcentral.
AUAGAGACUCAGAGCUGCAUAUCAAUAAGCGGAGGAAAAGAAACUAACAAGGAUUCCCUUAGUAACGGCGAGUGAAGCGGGAAGAGCUCAAAUUUGAAAUCUUCAAGGUUUUACCUUGACGAAUUGUAGUUUAAAGAAGUGUUUUCUGUUGAAGUUUUGGUAAAAGUUCUUUGGAAUAGGACAUCAUAGAGGGUGAGAAUCCCGUAUCUGACCAUUAUUUUCCAGCUGUGUGAUACACCUUCAAAGAGUCGGAUAGUUUGGGAAUGCAGUCCAAAAUAGGGUGGUAAAUUUCAUCUAAAGCUAAAUAUUGGCGAGAGACCGAUAGCGAACAAGUACCGUGAGGGAAAGAUGAAAAGAACUUUGAAAAGAGAGUUAAACAGUACGUGAAAUUGUCAAAAGGGAAGCGUUUGACACCAGUGUUGUUUUUCCGAAAAUCAAUUACGAAUGUUUUGUUUUUGAGAAGUUAUGACUUCAUCGGCUUGCUUCUCUCUUUACGAAAUUUUCUUAAUGCACUUUUCGGUUAACAAGUCAACAUCAAUUUCUUUUGUUGUAAAAGGGUAUGAGGAAGGUGGCUUUCUUUUCGGAGAAAGUGUUUAUAGCCUUGUGACCUCUGCAAUCGGAGAGAUUGAGGUCUGCAGCGUAGAUCCUUCGGGGUUAGAUACAUUUGUGCUAAGUUAUAGCCUUUCAUUGACAACUUGUUGACUAUGAUCAGUCAUGUAGCUUACUCGCUUAUGUCAUUUUACCUACGCUUAGGAUGUUGACGCAUGAGAUAUACGC